GACGAACGCUGGCGGCGUGCCUAACACAUGCAAGUCGAACGGGGUGUUCCUUCGGGGACACUUAGUGGCGAACGGGUGAGUAACGCGUGAGAAACCUGCCUUUCAGUGGGGGACAACAGUUGGAAACGACUGCUAAUACCGCAUAAUGUUUCGAGAGGGCAUCCUUUUGAAACCAAAGCUUUAUGUGCUGAAAGAUGGUCUCGCGUCUGAUUAGCUAGUUGGUGAGGUAACGGCUCACCAAGGCGACGAUCAGUAGCCGGUCUGAGAGGAUGAACGGCCACAUUGGGACUGAGAUACGGCCCAG
Molecule: ribosomal RNA, 304 nt
Filed under: uncultured bacterium
Lineage: Bacteria
Description: bacterial SSU rRNA
Rfam family: Bacterial small subunit ribosomal RNA
Source: RNAcentral